AGAGUUUGAUCAUGGCUCAGGACGAACGCUGGCGGCGUGCCUAAUACAUGCAAGUCGAGCGGAUGAAUCGAAAGCUUGCUUUUGAUUCGUUAGCGGCGGACGGGUGAGUAACACGUGGGCAACCUGCCCUGUAGACGGGGAUAACACCGAGAAAUCGGUGCUAAUACCGGAUAACACGAAAUGUCGCAUGACGUUUCGUUGAAAGACGGCGCAAGCUGCCGCUACAGGAUGGGCCCGCGGCGCAUUAGCUAGUUGGUGAGGUAACGGCUCACCAAGGCGACGAUGCGUAGCCGACCUGAGAGGGUGAUCGGCCACACUGGGACUGAGACACGGCCCAGACUCCUACGGGAGGCAGCAGUAGGGAAUCUUCCGCAAUGGACGAAAGUCUGACGGAGCAACGCCGCGUGAGCGAAGAAGGCCUUCGGGUCGUAAAGCUCUGUUGUUAGGGAAGAACAAGUAACGCAGUAACUGGCGUUACCGUGACGGUACCUAACGAGAAAGCCACGGCUAACUACGCGCCAGCAGCCGCGGUAAUACGUAGGUGGCAAGCGUUGUCCGGAAUUAUUGGGCGUAAAGCGCGCGCAGGCGGUUCCUUAAGUCUGAUGUGAAAGCCCACGGCUCAACCGUGGAGGGUCAUUGGAAACUGGGGGACUUGAGUGCAGAAGAGGAGAGCGGAAUUCCACGUGUAGCGGUGAAAUGCGUAGAGAUGUGGAGGAACACCAGUGGCGAAGGCGGCUCUCUGGUCUGUAACUGACGCUGAGGCGCGAAAGCGUGGGGAGCAAACAGGAUUAGAUACCCUG
Molecule: ribosomal RNA, 800 nt
Filed under: uncultured bacterium
Lineage: Bacteria
Description: bacterial SSU rRNA
Rfam family: Bacterial small subunit ribosomal RNA
Source: RNAcentral